CUCAAAUCAGGUGGACUACCCGCUGAACUUAAGCCUUUCAUUNGGG
RNAcentral lists this ribosomal RNA (46 nucleotides) under Aleurodiscus aurantius. Its description in RNAcentral is "partial 25S ribosomal RNA". Lineage: Eukaryota; Fungi; Basidiomycota; Agaricomycetes; Russulales; Stereaceae. The record is from RNAcentral.